This 207-nucleotide ribosomal RNA is filed under the name uncultured bacterium. RNAcentral describes it as "partial 16S ribosomal RNA". It matches the Rfam family "Bacterial small subunit ribosomal RNA", at positions 568 to 774 of the family's 1533-position model. The record is from RNAcentral.
CGUGUAGGCGGUCAAGUAAGUGGAAUGUGAAAGCCCCCGGCUCACCCGGGGAUCUGCAUCCCAAACUGCUUGGCUUGAGUACGGGAGAGGAUAGGGGAAUUCCUGGUGUAGCGGUGAAAUGCGUAGAUAUCAGGAGGAACACCGGUGGCGAAGGCGCCUAUCUGGCCCGAUACUGACGCUGAGGCGCGAAAGCUAGGGGAGCAAACG